Molecule: unclassified non-coding RNA, 355 nt
Filed under: soil metagenome
Description: partial contains 5.8S ribosomal RNA, internal transcribed spacer 2, and large subunit ribosomal RNA
Rfam family: 5.8S ribosomal RNA (bases 1-120)
Source: RNAcentral
GAUGAAGAACGUAGCGAAAUGCGAUAAGUAAUGUGAAUUGCAGAAUUCAGUGAAUCAUCGAAUCUUUGAACGCACAUUGCGCCCAUUAGUAUUCUAGUGGGCAUGCCUGUUCGAGCGUCAUUAAGUCCACUUAAGCCCUGCUUAGUGUUGGGAGACUGCUCCAGCGGUGCUACCCUGUAGCUACCCUGCAGCUCCUCAAAGACAGCGGCGGAGUUGUGGUAUCCUCUGAGCUUAGUAACUUGUUCUAGCUUUCNNNNNNNCCACUUCCCCUGCCGUAAAACCCUUAAUUUUUAAUGGUUGACCUCGGAUCAGGUAGGAAUACCCGCUGAACUUAAGCAUAUCAAUAAGCGGAGGA